UUGAAACAUGAGUUCCCAUACGAUCAUCGAAGUUAAACACCGUCGAGCCUGGUCAGUAACUAGACGGGUGGCCGCUUGAGAAUACCAGGUGCUGUAAG
Molecule: non-coding RNA, 98 nt
Organism: Acanthosepion pharaonis
Lineage: Eukaryota; Metazoa; Mollusca; Cephalopoda; Sepiida; Sepiidae
Source: the annotation of a GenBank genome assembly